GUUGAAGAACGUAGCGAAAUGCGAUAAGUAGUGUGAAUUGCAGAAUUCAGUGAAUCAUCGAAUCUUUGAACGCACAUUGCGCCCUUUGGUAUUCCUUAGGGCAUGCCUGUUCGAGCGUCAUUUAAACCUUCAAGCUCAGCUUGGUGUUGGGUGACUGUCCGCUUCACCGCGGACUCGCCUCAAAAUUAUUGGCGGCCGGUACAUUGGCUUCGAGCGCAGCAGAAACGCGAACUCGGGCCCGUCGUAUUGGCUCCCAGAAGCUAUCUUCACAAUUUUGACCUCGGAUCAGGUAGGGAUACCCGCUGAACUUAAGCAUAUCAAUAAGCGGAGGA
This 332-nucleotide unclassified non-coding RNA is filed under the name soil metagenome. RNAcentral's name for it is "partial contains 5.8S ribosomal RNA, internal transcribed spacer 2, and large subunit ribosomal RNA". The stretch from base 1 to 120 matches the Rfam family "5.8S ribosomal RNA", at positions 35 to 154 of the family's 154-position model. The record is from RNAcentral.